Molecule: ribosomal RNA, 506 nt
Filed under: uncultured bacterium
Lineage: Bacteria
Description: partial 16S ribosomal RNA
Rfam family: Bacterial small subunit ribosomal RNA
Source: RNAcentral
AGUGAACGCUGGCGGUAGGCCUAACACAUGCAAGUCGAACGGCAGCACAGGAGAGCUUGCUCUCUGGGUGGCGAGUGGCGGACGGGUGAGGAAUACAUCGGAAUCUACUCAGUCGUGGGGGAUAACGUAGGGAAACUUACGCUAAUACCGCAUACGACCUACGGGUGAAAGCAGGGGAUCUUCGGACCUUGCGCGAUUGAAUGAGCCGAUGUCGGAUUACCUAGUUGGCGGGGGAAAGGCCCACCAAGGCGGCGAUCCGUAGAUGGUCUGAGAGGAUGAUCGACCACACUGGAACUGAGACACGGUCCAGACUCCUACGGGGGGCAGCCGUGGGGAAUAUUGGACAAUGGGUGCAAGCCUGAUCCAGCAAUACCGCGUGGGUGAAGAAGGCCUUCGGGUUGUAAAGCCCUUUUGUUGGGAAAGAAAUCCAGCUGGCUAAUACCCGGUUGGGAUGACGGUACCCAAAGAAUAAGCACCGGCUAACUUCGUGCCAGCCGCCGUAAGAC